RNAcentral lists this ribosomal RNA (301 nucleotides) under uncultured bacterium. Its description in RNAcentral is "partial 16S ribosomal RNA". It matches the Rfam family "Bacterial small subunit ribosomal RNA", at positions 509 to 807 of the family's 1533-position model. The record is from RNAcentral.
CAGUCGCCGCGGUAAAACGUAGGGCGCAAGCGUUGUCCGGAAUUAUUGGGCGUAAAGAGCUCGUAGGCGGUCUGUCGCGUCUGGUGUGAAAUCCCGAGGCUCAACCUCGGGCUUGCAUCGGGUACGGGCAGACUAGAGUGCGGUAGGGGAGACUGGAAUUCCUGGUUUAGCGGUGGAAUGCGCAGAUAUCAGGAGGAACACCGAUGGCGAAGGCAGGUCUCUGGGCCGCAACUGACGCUGAGGAGCGAAAGCAUGGGGAGCGAACAGGAUUAGAUACCCCUGUAGUCCCUGUCUCUUAUAC